GACGAACGCUGGCGGCGUGCCUAAUACAUGCAAGUAGAACGCACAGUUUAUACCGUAGCUUGCUACACCAUAGACUGUGAGUUGCGAACGGGUGAGUAACGCGUAGGUAACCUGCCUGGUAGCGGGGGAUAACUAUUGGAAACGAUAGCUAAUACCGCAUAAUAUUGAUUAUUGCAUGAUAAUUAAUUGAAAGGUGCAAUUGCACCACUACCAGAUGGACCUGCGUUGUAUUAGCUAGUAGGUGAGGUAACGGCUCACCUAGGCGACGAUACAUAGCCGACCUGAGAGGGUGAUCGGCUACACUGGGACUGAGACACGGCCCAGACUCCUACGGGAGGAAGCAGUAGGGAAUCUUCGGCAAUGGACGAGAGACUGACCGAGCAACGCCGCGUGAGUGAAGAAGGUUUUCGGAUCGGAAAGCUCGGUUGUAAGAGAAGAACGGGUGUGAGAGUGGAAAGUUCAAACUGUGACGGUAUCUGACCAGAAAGGGACGGCUAACUACGUG
RNAcentral lists this ribosomal RNA (505 nucleotides) under uncultured bacterium. Its description in RNAcentral is "partial 16S ribosomal RNA". It matches the Rfam family "Bacterial small subunit ribosomal RNA", at positions 28 to 507 of the family's 1533-position model. The record is from RNAcentral.